AAUUCAUUCUUUUUUUUAAGGAUGUUGUUUUUAUGGCAAUUGAUGGCAUAAUCAUAUGUUUACAUGGCUUUUGAUGCAGAUGCAUGGCUUUUCAUGCUGAAAUGAGUGUCAAAUCCAAUGACAAUCCCCAUGGCAUACAUGUGAAUGGAACACAACAUCUAUAUGAGGAUUUACAGUACAUGAAGAUUUUCAUCUGGAUUUGCUGAUUUGCUAUGGAUUUCAUUCUUUCAACUGCAAAUGUUGAAUUCCAACAUAAGCCUGUGGCAAAGCAGCAUAAAAAUGUAAAUGAAGAAGAUGCCAUGUGUGACUCUACCCUAUGCCAAGAUUUACAUUAGUCUACCCUAUGAUUUUAAAACUGCCUCGAUCACAAAGCUACCCUCCUUUGCAACAACAUCUGACUGUAUUUUCUGCACAUUUCUUUUGCAAAACGGUAAACACCAUGGAAAUGGUUU
Molecule: long non-coding RNA, 452 nt
Organism: Hyla sarda
Lineage: Eukaryota; Metazoa; Chordata; Amphibia; Anura; Hylidae
Exons: 3
Source: RefSeq, a predicted model, not a curated record